GCCAACAUGGUGCAGUGGUUUGCAUGUUGGACUAUGACUCUAGAGAUCAUGGUUUGAAUCCCAGCUUGGCC
Non-coding RNA from Phrynosoma platyrhinos (Desert horned lizard), 71 nucleotides. The record is from the annotation of a GenBank genome assembly. NCBI's taxonomy places the organism in Eukaryota, Metazoa, Chordata, Lepidosauria, Squamata, Phrynosomatidae.